Molecule: small nucleolar RNA, 72 nt
Organism: Vicia villosa (hairy vetch)
Lineage: Eukaryota; Viridiplantae; Streptophyta; Magnoliopsida; Fabales; Fabaceae
Product: small nucleolar RNA Z105
Exons: 1
Source: RefSeq, a predicted model, not a curated record
CAGGCACAAUGAUGAAUGAUUUUAUUGUCAUAUGAAUUCAUGUGAUUAAAACAAUCCUCCUACUCAUUCUGA